AUUGAACGCUGGCGGCAGGCCUAACACAUGCAAGUCGAGCGGUAGAGAGAAGCUUGCUUCUCUUGAGAGCGGCGGACGGGUGAGUAAUGCCUAGGAAUCUGCCUGGUAGUGGGGGGAUAACGUUCGGAAACGAACGCUAAUACCGCAUACGUCCUACGGGAGAAAGCAGGGGACCUUCGGGCCUUGCGCUAUCAGAUGAGCCUAGGUCGGAUUAGCUAGUUGGUGAGGUAAUGGCUCACCAAGGCGACGAUCCGUAACUGGUCUGAGAGGAUGAUCAGUCACACUGGAACUGAGACACGGUCCAGACUCCUACGGGAGGCAGCAGUGGGGAAUAUUGGACAAAUGGGCGAAAGCCUGAUCCAGCCAUGCCGCGUGUGUGAAGAAGGUCUUCGGAUUGUAAAGCACUUUAAGUUGGGAGGAAGGGCAGUUACCUAAU
Molecule: ribosomal RNA, 436 nt
Filed under: uncultured bacterium
Lineage: Bacteria
Description: bacterial SSU rRNA
Rfam family: Bacterial small subunit ribosomal RNA
Source: RNAcentral